CAGAAGAACUAUCCAGAAAGCCCCAAGGUGUGCACGGCAGCUCCCGAAGAUCCCAGAAUGUCUGGAGUCAUCAGAGGAUUCGAGGACAGCUGACUGCCAUCUUGAAGCCAUUCAUUGUAUCUCAAGCCAGACAUUUUAAGUCUUUUAUUUGGAUCAACGAAAAACAACAGAGAGAGAAAAUUACAGAGGACACCUAAGAAUUGACCAGGUUUAGUGGCUCUUCUAUGACACUCACCAAGAUGACACCCAAGCUCCACAGGUCACAGGACUCAUCAUAGCCAUUGUGAUUCAAGAGCUCCGGGGCUGCGUAAUGAAGGGUGAAGCACGGGGUCUUCAGGGGCUGAUUGUCAGGCGGCUUGAGGCGAGCAAACCCGAAAUCGAUAACUUUAAUUUCCAAAUUAUCAUUUUCAUCAGUGAACAAUAAAUUCUGUAAGAUACCAA
This is a long non-coding RNA of Marmota flaviventris (yellow-bellied marmot), 441 nucleotides long. RefSeq lists it as uncharacterized. Lineage: Eukaryota; Metazoa; Chordata; Mammalia; Rodentia; Sciuridae. The record is from RefSeq and is a predicted model, not a curated record.